AGACCCGAAACCCGGUGAUCUAGCCAUGGGCAGGUUGAAGGUUGGGUAACACUAACUGGAGGACCGAACCGACUAAUGUUGAAAAAUUAGCGGAUGACCUGUGGCUGGGGGUGAAAGGCCAAUCAAACCGGGAGAUAGCUGGUUCUCCCCGAAAGCUAUUUAGGUAGCGCCUCGUGAAUUCAUCUCCGGGGGUAGAGCACUGUUUCGGCUAGGGGGCCAUCCCGGCUUACCAACCCGAUGCAAACUGCGAAUACCGGAGAAUGUUAUCACGGGAGACACACGGCGGGUGCUAACGUCCGUCGUGAAGAGGGAAACAACCCAGACCGCCAGCUAAGGUCCCAAAGUCAUGGUUAAGUGGGAAACGAUGUGGGAAGGCCCAGACAGCCAGGAUGUUGGCUUAGAAGCAGCCAUCAUUUAAAGAAAGCGUAAUAGCUCACUGGUCGAGUCGGCCUGCGCGGAAGAUGUAACGGGGCUAAACCAUGCACCGAAGCUGCGGCAGCGACGCUUAUGCGUUGUUGGGUAGGGGAGCGUUCUGUAAGCCUGUGAAGGUGGCCUGUGAGGGUUGCUGGAGGUAUCAGAAGUGCGAAUGCUGACAUAAGUAACGAUAAAGCGGGUGAAAAGCCCGCUCGCCGGAAGACCAAGGGUUCCUGUCCAACGUUAAUCGGGGCAGGGUGAGUCGACCCCUAAGGCGAGGCCGAAAGGCGUAGUCGAUGGGAAACAGGUUAAUAUUCCUGUACUUGGUGUUACUGCGAAGGGGGGACGGAGAAGGCUAUGUUGGCCGGGCGACGGUUGUCCCGGUUUAAGCGUGUAGGUGUGUGUUCCAGGUAAAUCCGGUUCACUUUAACACUGAGGCGUGAUGACGAGGCACUACGGUGCUGAAGCAACAAAUGCCCUGCUUCCAGGAAAAGCCUCUAAGCAUCAGGUAACAUCAAAUCGUACCCCAAACCGACACAGGUGGUCAGGUAGAGAAUACCAAGGCGCUUGAGAG
Molecule: ribosomal RNA, 988 nt
Filed under: Salmonella enterica
Lineage: Bacteria; Pseudomonadati; Pseudomonadota; Gammaproteobacteria; Enterobacterales; Enterobacteriaceae
Description: partial 23S ribosomal RNA
Rfam family: Bacterial large subunit ribosomal RNA
Source: RNAcentral